Molecule: long non-coding RNA, 2330 nt
Filed under: Homo sapiens (human)
Lineage: Eukaryota; Metazoa; Chordata; Mammalia; Primates; Hominidae
Description: non-protein coding lnc-VIRMA-1:8
Source: RNAcentral
CUCGUUUCCUGGUAGGAGAAGGUGCAGGCGGAGGCGGGGCCUCCCGUGAUACAGGUGGCAGCUCUCGUCCCCUGAGAGCGGGCGAAGGCCAGGGUCCCACACUCGCAGCGCUGCGACGGCGCUCGGGACCUCCCUCGUCCACUGCUUGAGUUCCAGAGGUGGGUGCUUCCCUGUCCUGAACUUCAGAGUGCGGAGUCAUAAAUGGGUUCCGGCUGGCUUACUGCAGUAGCCUCGCUCCUCCCCAGCCCCGGUAACUCCGAGCUACCCGUCCAGGCCCUCGGGCGUCGCGGGGGCAGGGACUGGGCGCGGAACGAGGCAGGGAGGGACCUGGAAAAACCACCCAGAUUGCAUUGCAGUGGGCGAGGCCGCCUGGAGGAGCCGGUUCCCCCUAACCACCUCCCCGUGGGGCUCUCGGUGCGCGGUUCCCAGGUGCUCAGCUCUGCUGGGCCCAGGAGGUGCCGCCUCACAGGGACGCGGAACCCCGUGCGUGGCCCCCGCCGGGUGGAACAGAUAGCGCGGGGCGGUCCGGAGGCUCGUCGCCAAGCAGGUGACUCUUGCUGAAAAAGUGGUUGGAACACUUGAGGAAACCCGGCCCCGCCUGUUCUUUCUAGGUCUUUGGAGUUUGGAUUAAUCAUUUGUGUAGCCCGUUUGGAUAAACCGAAGACUUUAUUAAAUCAGCGCGUUUAACAGGAAUUCCGCAGUAGUAUCCACAUUAGAAUCUUGAGUCUUGGAGUUGAACAUAUUCACACAGACUUGCCUUCUUCCUGUUUAGUUUAUGCCUUGUGUUCCGUUAUUGGAACGCUAAGCUUGUGGGAGUUGUUUACAUCCUACUGCUCAAGGUCAUCGCUAAGGUGUGAUUUUUCACAAAAAGAAUUUGCAACCUCCGGCAUGAAUGACUUAAGGGAAGUCUAAUCCCGGUUUCUGAUUUUUUUUUUUUUUUUAAUUUAAAAGUUAAUCUUUCUGGGCCGGGCGCGGUGGCUCACGCCUGUAAUCCCAGCACUUUGGGAGGCCGAGGCGGAUCACGAGGUCAGGAGUUCGAGACCAGCCUGACCAACAUGGUGAAACCCCGUCUCUACUAAAAACACAAAAAUUAGCCGGGCGGGGUGGCGCGCACCUGUAAUCCCAGCUGCUCGGGAGGCUGAGGCAGGAGAAUCGCUUGAACCUGGGAGGCGGGGGGUUGCAGUGAGCCGAGAUCUGGCCAUUGCACUCCAGCGUGGGCAACAGAGUGAGACUCCAUCUCAAAAAAAAAGGUUAAUCUUUCCAACUAGAUUUUCAAGGAUGAGGAUUUUGUUGUUGUUGUUGUUGUUGUUCUCAAAUGUAUUCCCAGGGCUUGGAACAGAGCCUGACAUAUACUAGGCACUCAACAAAUAUUUGUUGAAUGAUUGUAAUGAGUAACACCCAUUUUUGCAGAUCUUUGUCUUCUGAGCCUAGGGCAUAGGUCAUCACUGCAGGGGUGAGAUUGUCAAAAUGGGAGUCUACAGGUAAUUUAAGACUUAAAUGUUUAAAGAGUAUGUGCUCAUUCUUCAACAAACUUACUUUUGUUAAAUUAAAAUGGUAAAAUGUGGUGGAGGGGUUGGAAUAUAUGUAAUUCAAGACAGUUCUGAAUACAAAAAUGUUUUACUGUCUAUCACCACCAUCUAUAAAUCUAAUUCACUAAGGAUAAUCUGUGUAAGGUGGCUGGAAAGAACCUUGAGGAGAGAGGCUUAUUUAAGUAUUGGCUCAGGACCACACCUAAAAUUCUCAAAACGUUGAGAUUCUGUUGUUUUGUUUUUAAGCGCCAGAGACCCAAGUUGAGGAACAGCCUAUAAAAUAACUGGCCUGUACUCUUACAUACAUGAAAGCCAUCAAAGACAAAGACUGAAGAAGAACUUUUGCAGAUUAAAGGACUUUAAGAGACAUGAUCCUGAACCAGAAAAAGUAAAAAAUAAAAAAAUAAAAAGAUCUGUAGAUUAGAUAAUAGUUUUAUAUCCAUGUUAAUUUCCCAUUUGUUGUAAUAUUACUGUGGUUGGGCAAGAGAGUGUCUUUGUUGGUGGAAGUAUCUACUGAAGUAUUUAGGGGUAAAGAGGAAUCAUGUCUGUAACUUAUGCUCAAAAGGUUCAGACAAAAUAUAUGUAAAGGGAAUGAUAAAGCAAACGCAAUAAAAUGUUAACAUUGGGGAAUCUGUAUAAGGGAAUUAUUAACUUUUCUGUAAGUCUAAAAUUAUUUCAAAUUAAAAAUAAUUUUUUUAAGCCUCAGAGGACAUUUUGCUGCCACCGCCUUGCUGGUGGUUGACAAGGCUCUGUGUCAUGACUUUUUUUUCUGCUAAUCUAACUACUUGUACUGUAAAAUAA